This 1499-nucleotide long non-coding RNA is filed under the name Chrysemys picta bellii (western painted turtle). RNAcentral's name for it is "lncRNA (ENSCPBG00000003331.1)". The record is from RNAcentral. Lineage: Eukaryota; Metazoa; Chordata; Testudines; Emydidae.
UACAAACUCGUAAUUAGUUUAGCUGUUAGUGCUCUUUGCUAAAUCUCUAAAUACCAGUUUUCAUCACUGAUGGUCUCUAACAUAAGCUGAAAUUCUAACCUCUUCACUGUGUGAAAGGUGUCACUUUUCAGAUUGGGCUCUCAUUCAAAGAGUGUGACUACAAAGCAAUACCCUGUCCUUAUGUGUAAGAUAUGUUAACUAUGUUCCCUUUUUUCAUGAAGAGGAUAAUGCAGUGAUUAAUACUCCCUUACCUAGGAGAGCGAUGGGAUCCUGGACCAACAAGUACCUGAAUGUGUUGUCAUCACAUCCUGCCACUGCAUGUCACUGUGCUGAAGAGUGGACAGCCCUCAGCUUUAAUUCCUCAUGUGCAUUUCAGCCCAUCAAAUUCUGGCCUGAAGUUAUCCCUUGUUAUGAAUCUACUGCAACAACCAAUUGGAAUGUUCCAGCUCUUUCUCCACCUGCAGUGCCAUUGGUAUCAAGGCUUCCUUUCCAUUGCUAGAACUCUGUUUUAGCACAGAGUUGCACAAGAUCAGCUUGGUAGCCAAGAAAUUCUUCAGAUGAUGCCUUCCAGAAACACAUCUAAAACUGGACUUUAAUGUUGCUGACUGUCCAGUAUAUGUCCUAUAACUUUUCUUCCACAACACCUGUUAAUUACCAAUGCUGUAAGUUGCUCUACAGGAUCAAAAGGACAAAUGGAUACACAAAUUUCUGAGCCACCUAGCAUCAAGGCCGUGUCCAAUGUUAUAACAUCAGAGAAUAUUACCCACACCUAGGACCAUGUUAAAUGAGGCUGAUGCCAUAUUUGGAAUCUGUGGGAAUUCAAGAAGAGAUAUCACAAGGUAACUUUAGCUCCUACUGCAGUGCCAUAGGUUACUGUGAGUUAUCCAAAUAUUAGUGUUUUGAUUAGUGGAGCAAAAAUGACAUAACAAGAGUUGGUUAUUUUAUUCUUAGUUGUAUUUGAAGAGCUUGUAUUUGCAAACACUUGUAUCUAUAUAGUGGAACCUUAACUUGUUUAAGUUGUUUCCCUGGUUUUGCAGUUUUGGGAUGUUAUGCUACACACUGCUCAACCAUCCAAUUAUCCCAGACUUAUUACUUAAAAUUUCUUAUACGUUUAAAUUUAACUAGAUUUAGGCUUGAUUGUUAACGCUGCUGUUACAUGGUGAUUUAUGGGUAAAUAGGGUGACCAGACAUCCCGAUAAAAUCAGGACCGUCCCGAUAUUUGGGGUUUGUCCCGCAUCCCGAUAUCAGCUGGCAGCGCUGGUUUUUUUUUGCUCCGCCGGCGAGACUGACUUGGCUUUUUUUUUUUUUGCACCCCCUCCUCCCCAUGUGUCCCGAUAUUUUCUUUCCCUCAUCUGGUCACCCUAUGGGUAAACAACAAGAUUCUGUCCCUUAUCUGAGGAACGUAUACUGUAGGUUAAAGCAUAGCAUAAAAAGAUGACAAACCAUAGCAGGAAAAGCUAAGGAAGAUGAGCAAGACAAUGGGGCUCUUUGCACUGCAC